This is a long non-coding RNA of Trachemys scripta elegans, 3256 nucleotides long. RefSeq lists it as uncharacterized. The record is from RefSeq and is a predicted model, not a curated record. The transcript has 11 exons. Lineage: Eukaryota; Metazoa; Chordata; Testudines; Emydidae.
UGAGGUUCUUACCCACGAAAGCUUAUGCUCCCUAUACUUCUGUUAGUCUCAAAGGUGCCACAGGACCCUCUAUUGCUUUUUACAGAUUCAGACUAACACGGCUACCCCUCUGAUACUUUCAGGAAAUGAAGUCCUUGAUCCAAGCUGAUACCAUGAGGUUUUCUUCUCAUUCAUAGUAAAUGAUACUGAUAGAACAGCUAGCAACAGUGAGGUCAUGGUUUCCAAAUCUGCAUCCUGAAGUUGUAGUUUUGUUGUAGGCACAAUUCCAUGUUUCACUCAGUGGUGCUCAGUGCACUGCAUGUGUGGUGGAGAUUUCACUUGAUCUCUUGUGCAUUACAUAAUUAUUUUUUCAUAAAAGUUUUCUGUGGUAGGAUUUUCUGCAGAUGGGCUCAUUUUAUUAACUUUUUUACAAACACUCCAGUUUUCUGUGUCUAAAUUCUGUGCCCUGACUUGGGUUAUGUGCUGCUGGUGCAAGACUUGGUAUGUGUCUACACAGAACUGUGGAAGGCAUCAUAAUAUGUAAUAAUCUGCCACCGGAUCACAAAUGGACAAUAGUGACAAAUGGACACAAGGGCUCCCACCCUAGAUGCAGUGUGAAAUCCUGUCGUUGGUGGGCUGUACCCACUCCUGACAGAUACCAGUGGGUAUUUGUCUCUCUUACUCGUUGACAGCACAUGUAUAAAUUGACAUGCAAAUAAAAUCUCAUUGAAUUGAAAUUCUGAAAGGCACAAAAAAAAAGGGGGGGGGGGGAUCAUGAACCAGAAUUGGCUACUAGAUCUGUAUGCAGCAGGAAUCCAGUGGUUCCAAAUACCCUGGAGCCAGCAGUUUAUGUCCAUUACCCCACUCCAAUACCAAGCAGUAGCCUUGCUGGACUGGCUGUAUAUACCCCUAGGUCCCAGAGUACUGUAUUGAAGCUGAGAAUUCUAUCCCACCAGUUGAUGUUUGACUGCAUUUUUCCAUCUUCCCAGCUUUUUUAUUCAGGCUUCAUUCCCUUUCUGAAGAGAGUAGGGUCAUAAACUAAAGACAUAAACAUUAUCUUAUCUGACAUAGUAUUGCAAAUUCAGGAUAAUCUUACCUUUGAAGGGCAAGUAUUAUAGCUUCUAGUUUCUAUUUCAGUGUACUAAAAAUGUGUGAAGUAUUGAAUUUCCUUAUUUUCCCUGUUUUCACCUGAUGAAAGCAAAUAAUAUCUGGUGACGUAGCUAUUUGGGAAUGGGUCUGCAUAUGACCAUCAUCUGUUUGCUUCUUCUCUGAUUGAGAGACUAAAGAGAAAUGCAGUCUCAUUGCUUCUAUAGAUCCCCUGGCUACUGACCAACAGGAGCUUUAUCGGCAAAUUCAGAAGGAAUUAGGCCAAAAUCUGCUCUCAGUUAUGUGACUGCCACUCCCUGUUUGGCCCACUGCCUACUCAGCUAUUGGUCACAGUAUUAAAAAAGCAAGAGGGGAAUCUAGGGAGAGGGAAGGAUUGGUUAACCCACAACUCUUUAACCAUGUAAGAUGCACUGGCAGUCUUUAAGAUAUGUUUUGAUAUAUUCUUAAAAGAGAUGCUCUAGCGCAAACUGAAAUUAUGGGCUUGAUGCAAAAAUUACUGACUGAGCUCUAUGGCCUGUGUUAUGUAGCAGACUAGGUCAUCAUAAUGGUGCUGCUGGCCUUAAAAAUCUAUGAAAACAGGUACCUGGCAACUUGGCAAAGACAUGCUGGUGAAUAGACACAUAGUGGCUGAGUGCUUACUGACUUACCUGUAGGAUGGUACUGACAUAUAGUUUGAGUGAGUCAGGGAGAGUAGUGGGAGCUCAGCAUUUCUGAAUAUCAACCCGUAGACAUGAAACCAUUUCCUGAAUGGGUUAGAAUCAGGCAGAUGUUCUGGGCGGUACCCCCCUCUUUGAUACUCAGCUAACAACCUUUUCAUGGAGUUACCCAGGAAGGGAUGCCGAGCUCAUGCUCAGAGAUGGACUGUAGAACUGUGCAGUAGCUACAGCUGGACUCUGGGACAAGAUGCAGCAAUCCAGUAAGGCAACAGCAUCUCAGCAGAAAGUGCUGCAUAUAUGAAUGACAUUAUACAGAUGGAGGCCUGGUGUGCUGGAGGUGUACAUCUAAAUCAUCACAAUUAUGAUGGCCAAACCUCUCCGUGUGGCUGCAUGUUCCAGCUUGCCAGAGAUGGUCAAUGUCCUGUCAGAGAAUGGUGCAAACCCAAGCUCGUAGUGUCACCAGCAGAUUUGUAUAGGAGAAGAGGAUCAGACUGAGAGGAAUAAUGAAACAGCCAUUGCUGAAGCUACAGACUUGACGAAUGUGACGCCCAUACCUUCCGGCACAUAGCUGCUCCAGCCUAACAUUGGUGGGGUUGUCCAGAGAAGUGACCAAAUCCAGGUGAAUGCACAGCCCAUCACUGCAUGUUUGUGGUGAAAUCGGAAAUCUCCCAUGGGUUUGCAGAUGACGAUAUACCUUUCGAAGGCCAGGAUCGCCAAGGACCAAAGCCCCACAAUGCCUGAGAGAGAUCACUAAAUGACCAAACCUGAGGAUCUGCUCAGCCAGUGUGUUCUGAACUCCCCAGAGUGUGUGAAUACAGGAAGCAGUUGACAGUGCUGUGAAUCGCCACAUAAACUUCUGAUUUGCAACUGGAGCUUUUUUGUAAGAACACAAUCACGCACUUUGCAACAAACAGAGGAUAGCUAGCCAAGAUGAGUAGAAUCAGCUGCCGCUGAGCAAUUUUUGCCCCUGAAGUGCUCUGAAAAGGCAAUCAAACCAGUGCUUCAGCCGCUCACCUUUGGCGUUAAUUCCUAACACUACUCCACCUUAGCAGAGAGAAAGAGUGAGAGAGAGAGAGAGUCAGCUCAUUCCACAGAGGUGGUCCUACCACGGAAAGACCUAGCAAGUGGUGCACAGCAAGGUUUCUUUGUCACCUGCAUUAACAGAAGUAGGUGAAUGAGGAAGGAUUGUCCAGUGUGACUGUAACGUAAAGUGUGAACAGAGAUUGUCACCUGGCCAGGAAGUGCACCUUGCUGGUGGCUUUCACCACCUCGCACAAGAAGUGGAAGCAGUGCCUGGCAACCAUUCUGCAAUACCAAAGCGCGAGGCAGAUCAUGAGGAAGCGGAUUCAUUCAUGUUCUUGCAUGUUGCUCAUUCAAAGUAAGCACUCAGAGUAAACAGGGUGCUAAUGUGGCACUUGGACUCAGAUAUUGCAGUUCUUUGACCAAGGUAUUGCCAGGGCCGGUGCAAGGAAGUUUCGCGCCCUAGGCGAAACUUCCACCUUGCGCCCCUCCAC